CUCUGAACCGAGUGCCUUCUUACCCAAUCACCAUCCCGCAUUGUUUGACGCUUCAACGCCAGACGCAGCUGCUGAUUACAUGUCCACCAUAUAUAUAUGACAGAACCAGAUCCAGAACCCUGGGACCUUGAAUAAGUCACUCAACCUCUCCGAAUCUCUAGUGGAUGUUGUAAUAGGCCUGCCUCAAAGGAUUAUUCCGUGAUUAUGCAGCAAGCCAUCUCUCAGCACCGACCCCUCAGGCUCUAUGCUGGACACAUGUGUGGUGAGGAAGAGUGAGGCCCACAUUAGUAAGCUUGCCCAAGAUCCAUCACAAGAGUCAGCAAUGAGGAUUCAAAGCGGGUUGUCAGCUCCGAGAGCUUGCCUGUCUAAUGUCGGAUGUGUUGUGUGAAGCUUGGGCCUCCUGGAUGGGUCUAAAGCCCCUUGCGAUGCCCAGCACGCACUGGUGAGUAGCAGGCACUGCAGAACUGUUCUGAAUAGGAUGGAGGUUCUGUGUGAACAGCCAGGCAUCGAGCCCAAGAAGGCCAAGACUGAAUGGCAACUCCAGAGUGCUGGUUCCCCAGAAGGCCAGCUGGGUUUCCUGGGGCGUGGUCUAGUAGAGCCAGCCCCAAGAAAAGGAAACACCGCCAAGAGUACCUUUUGGCCACACUACCUUCCCAGGUCUCCCCCCACGGAGCUGUCCUAGUACCAUGGACGCUGCGCCAUGGCCCCCCCUAGUGGCCAGAGGGUCACUGAUGACAGCGGUGUCCAACAGAGCGCGUGAAGAUCUCAAGCACAGUGAGUUUCUCACCUGGCCAAAUUCUCAGGCUCCAGAGCAGCCCCCUCGGGUUAGAGCUAAAAGCCUCAAGUGAGUGGACCCGGCUCACAGCCCGGAGCCUGACAAGGCAGCCCUCCAUCACUACUCUGAGCCCCACAAAAAGAGACCCUUGGCUCCACCCGGAACACAUUUGAAGGGAAGAGGUGUUGCCAGCAGAGGACUCAAUCAGAGCCCCCUUUACAAUGGCCAGAAUGAUUCCACCCCCAUACCUGCAAGAGAGGGCUUAAGGCUGCAGGGCAUCUGCCAGGAAAUAUUAAAUGAUACCACUUCCCACUCAG
Long non-coding RNA from Mastomys coucha (southern multimammate mouse), 1092 nucleotides. RefSeq lists it as uncharacterized. The transcript is spliced from 3 exons. Lineage: Eukaryota; Metazoa; Chordata; Mammalia; Rodentia; Muridae. The record is from RefSeq and is a predicted model, not a curated record.